CGCAGGAGCUUAGAAGUUCUUCUAUUUCGCACACAAUCAGCAAGGAUUGGACAUGGAUGUCCAAUCAAGCAGCAAUCGAGCCCGGAUGGCUCGUUGAUGCGUUUGCGUCCCUUUUCAGCCAAACAUGCCGAAAUAGUUAGAACUUCUUAGUUCCGCAG
Molecule: non-coding RNA, 158 nt
Filed under: human gut metagenome
Source: RNAcentral